This 253-nucleotide ribosomal RNA is filed under the name uncultured bacterium. Its description in RNAcentral is "partial 16S ribosomal RNA". It matches the Rfam family "Bacterial small subunit ribosomal RNA", at positions 524 to 776 of the family's 1533-position model. The record is from RNAcentral.
UACGGAGGAUCCGAGCGUUAUCCGGAUUUAUUGGGUUUAAAGGGUGCGUAGGCGGCCUUGUAAGUCAGGGGUGAAAGACGGUAGCUCAACUAUCGCAGUGCCUUUGAUACUGCAGGGCUUGAAUGUACUUGAGGUAGGCGGAAUGUGACAAGUAGCGGUGAAAUGCAUAGAUAUGUCACAGAACACCAAUUGCGAAGGCAGCUUACCAUGGUAUGAUUGACGCUGAGGCACGAAAGCGUGGGGAUCAAACAGG